UUUUUGUAAUAAUUUAAAGUCUAAUCUGCCCACUGAUAUUAUUAAAGGGCUGCAGUAUUUUGACUGUACAAAGGUAGCAUAAUCAUUUGUCUCUUAAUUGGUGACUUGUAUGAAAGAUUGAAUGAAAUAUGAACUGUCUCAAUUUAAUUUAUAAAAUUUAAUUUUUUAGUUAAAAAGCUAAAAUAAGUUUAAAAGACGAGAAGACCCUAUAGAGUUUUAUAAUUAUAUUAAUUAUAAUAAAAUAUAAAUUUUUUAAUUAAAAUUAAUAUAAUUAUUUUGUUGGGGUGACAAAAAAAUUAAAUUAACUUUUUUUAAAAAAUUUACAUUAAUUUAUGAUUUUAUGAUCCAUUUUUAGUGAUUAAAAGAAAAAAUUACCUUAGGGAUAACAGCGUAAUUUUUUUUUUUAGAUCAAAUAAAAAAAAAAGUUUGCGACCUCGAUGUUGGAUUAAGAUAAAAUUUAAAUGCAAAAGUUUAAAAUUUUUGAUCUGUUCGAUCAUUAAAAUCUUACAUGAUCU
Molecule: ribosomal RNA, 515 nt
Filed under: Pachliopta aristolochiae
Lineage: Eukaryota; Metazoa; Arthropoda; Insecta; Lepidoptera; Papilionidae
Description: partial 16S ribosomal RNA
Rfam family: Bacterial large subunit ribosomal RNA (bases 382-515)
Source: RNAcentral